AAGAGUCUGCAACUAUGAAUUUGAAUGUCAUAGAUCCAAAUGAAGUACCACCUUCGACCAGAGGUCACCGGGAAACAAAGCUGACAACGCUAGCUGUAGGGAAGACAGACAUAGGAACUGCGAAACCGAAUCCAGGC
This is a long non-coding RNA of Haliotis rubra (blacklip abalone), 137 nucleotides long. RefSeq lists it as uncharacterized. The transcript has 3 exons. NCBI's taxonomy places the organism in Eukaryota, Metazoa, Mollusca, Gastropoda, Lepetellida, Haliotidae. The record is from RefSeq and is a predicted model, not a curated record.